AUUUUGCUUUCAGAACAGAAGGGAAGUUGAGCUUUCAACUCCAAAAACAAAGGCUUGAGAUUCCCUUACCUCAUUGUUGUCUUUGUAGAGAUUUUCUGUCCUCUUCCAAUAAUGAGUAUCAUCUUCAUAACUCAGUGUAGUGAAAUUUCACUAUCAUCUUUCGUCCUUGGUUGAGAAUAAGUCAAGAGAAGAAGAAGAAGGCUAUUUUGCUCUUCUAUGGUCUACAUUAAGCAUAUGGCCACAUAAACAAAGACUUGACCUUAAAUGGGAAAGAGGCUUUGGAUUGGAAUUCUAGCUGUUUAAGAACAAGAAAUUAAGACCAGAAGGCAGAGAUAUAUUGUAGAAGGUAGACUGGUGCUAAGAAGUAAAGUGGUUUAUACUUGUAGGGCAGCUAAUUGAAGAAGGCAGGUCUAAUUUUCAUGGAUAACAAGACCUCAUCCUCUUCACAUCCUGGCCCUCAACAAGAAGCUUCCAAUCAUGAUGAAUUUUUCAUGCAACAGAGCUUGCUUUUUUCUGAUACUAUUAAGGAUUUGAAAAUUUUAAGGGAACAGUUGUACUCAGCAGCAGAGUAUUUUGAAAAAUCUUACAGCGAAGAGGACCAGAAACAAGUAGUGGUGGAGACCCUGAAGGAUUAUGCCAUCAAAGCCUUAGUCAAUACUAUUGACCACUUGGGCUCCGUAGCAUACAAAGUUAAUAGCUAUUCCGAAGAAAAGAUCAGCCAAUUUUCAGCUCUGGAGCUUCGAUUCUCUUGCCUGGAACAGAGACUACAAACAUGCCAAGAGUAUAUCAACCAUGGGGGACUUUCUCAACAGGUUUUGAUGGUAGAAACUCCCAACUACCAAAAGCGAUACAUAUUUCCAGGCAAAUAUCAUUAUCACAUUCCAUUUUUCCUAUAUACUAUCUUCGAGACUAGCCUGCUAUUUUCGUAUUGUCUAUUUAUCUCACACAAUGUGCCACAAUAGUUGGGAUAGCAUUUUUCUAUCUUUGAAGCUCACUUUCAAUAGAAUUUAUCAACUGGGGAAAAUGUGUAAAAAUUUUCUGUGAAAACUUUUCAGUUGAGGAGUCUGCAGACACCAAAUUAAAAUUUCACAAAAGAAGCUUCAGUGCUGAUUACAGUUCGUAUCAGUUCAAAAGUGGUACUCCAUAUUUCUUUUAUCUUCAGACAAGCCUAGCAUUUUAAUAAUCUAAUCUCAUUCUUGAUUACUAGAAUAUAUACCCAAAUUACAUGAUCUAUUCAAGAUACCAUAUAGGGGUAGAAAUCAUUUAUCUGUUUGUCUUUUUUCUGGUAAGCUGUUCAAGCAACAAUAAGGGGGACCUCUCCAUCUAUUUUCAGGUAAUCUUGAUGCAAUGUCUUUCAAUGUCAUAAUGAACUUAUCAUGCCUGCUUCACCAGGAUCAAACUCUAUAUGUAUAUUUUAAUGCAGAGGAGGGCAUUCUACAUUACAGUCUCCACAGUUUUCCUCAAGACAAGGAAUUUUUACGUUUACAAAUACUUCGAUCAACAAAAAACCAGGUUUCUACAAAUGAAUUUUUCUUACAUAAAGAAAUGAUGUUAACAACAGCACAGUCAAAACAGUGAUAGAUAAUGCCUUACGCUUCUUUAUUUUCUAGGGGUAAAACUAUAACUAGUCUACUGAUUAUCUUCUCUAACAUCAGAUAAAAGAGCUGGCUCUCCACAGCGGUUUCCACUCAGGCGUCCUGGAUCCCUUCUUCCUAAGAGAGCAUUAUCUUUGAAUAAUUCUACCGUCAUCCGACAGGUAAGAACAUAAUCUGAAGAAUUGAGAAUGACUGCUGUAUCUCUUUCUUUUUCUUUUUGAUUCAUUGUGAACUACGUAGCUCUCCCCAUCUCUCUUGAUCCCAUACACCAACUUCAAUGGGAUUCAAAAUAUGGAACUUUCUACAGAAAACCCAAAUUUUAACCACCUAAGUGUUCUCUUGCCAACAGAAUAACUACUAUAAAAUUGUGGGAACUGGGAAUUAGUGGACAUCUAGGCAUCACAUAUAGGAAUCUAUCCUUGUGAACAUUGAUUCUAACCUUAUCUAAUCUUUUCAGUAUCCGCCACAGCCCUGGAGAUCAGUUUCAUUGUCUACAUAUCCUGAAAGAGACGGGGUAAACGAGAUUGAACAAUAUUCCAGCAAAAACAAACGCCUUAUUAAGGCCUUGCUUAACAUGCGCAAAUCCAGAAAGGAUCACACACUUUACAAAUAUAUGGAUGACAUUUGAAAGAAACUGGAGGCAUGGAAGGAACCAGAGAGACCUUUGUAGUUUUUGGCCCUAUUUUGUAAUCUAUUUUGUUUUAAUCUUCAAUCACCUUCUGUUGUUUUCCAGUGGAAGCAAGUAUGUUUAGCCUUCUGUCGAUGCAACUUGAUAAAUAUCUGUCCACUCCAUCCCAGAUUUUAGUUGGUCAAAUUAUUAAAAGACAAAUCCUAUUGAAUGAGCAAAACAAUACCGCAAUUGCA
This 2459-nucleotide unclassified non-coding RNA is filed under the name Hevea brasiliensis (rubber tree). Lineage: Eukaryota; Viridiplantae; Streptophyta; Magnoliopsida; Malpighiales; Euphorbiaceae. The record is from RNAcentral.